This 106-nucleotide non-coding RNA is filed under the name Enterococcus sp. RNAcentral's name for it is "Glycine sequence". It matches the Rfam family "Glycine riboswitch aptamer". Rfam says of the family: This family represents the bacterial glycine riboswitch. Lineage: Bacteria; Bacillati; Bacillota; Bacilli; Lactobacillales; Enterococcaceae. The record is from RNAcentral.
AAGAAGAUUGCGGGAGAGUGCAGAAGCUACUGCCACCGAAGGUAUAAGUUGUAAAAUUUGCUGAUUUUGCAGUGAACAUCUCAGGUAAAUGGACCGCAAUUGGAUG